AGAGCGAACGCUGGCGGCAGGCUUAACACAUGCAAGUCGAGCGGCCGUAGCAAUACGGCAGCGGCAGACGGGAGAGUAACACGUGGGAACGUGCCUAUCAGUUCGGAACAACCCAGGGAAACUUGGGCUAAUACCGGAUACGCCCUUACGGGGAAAGAUUUAUCGCUGAUAGAGCGGCCCGCGUCUGAUUAGCUAGUUGGUGAGGUAACGGCUCACCAAGGCGACGAUCAGUAGCUGGUCUGAGAGGAUGAUCAGCCUCACUGGGACUGAGACACGGCCCAGACUCCUACGGGAGGCAGCAGGUGGGAAUAUGGACAGGUGGGCGCAAGCCUGAUCAGCCAUGCCGCGUGGAUGAUGAAGGCCGUUAGGGUUAGUAAAAUUCCGUUUCGGGCGGGAAGAUAAUGACGUACCCGCGAGAAGACGCCCGCUAACUCGUGCC
This 439-nucleotide ribosomal RNA is filed under the name uncultured soil bacterium. RNAcentral's name for it is "bacterial SSU rRNA". It matches the Rfam family "Bacterial small subunit ribosomal RNA", at positions 26 to 509 of the family's 1533-position model. The record is from RNAcentral.